Non-coding RNA from Stegodyphus mimosarum, 73 nucleotides. NCBI's taxonomy places the organism in Eukaryota, Metazoa, Arthropoda, Arachnida, Araneae, Eresidae. The record is from Rfam.
GCCUUCGUAGUGUAGUGGUCAUCACGCUCGGCACGUAAUCCAGAGGUCCGUGGUUCGAGUCCCGGCGAGGGCA